CGGAGGGUGCAAGCGUUAUCCGGAUUCACUGGGUUUAAAGGGUGCGUAGGCGGGUAGGUAAGUCAGUGGUGAAAUCUCAGAGCUUAACUCUGAAACUGCCAUUGAUACUAUCUAUCUUGAAUGUUCUGGAGGUGAGCGGAAUAUGUCAUGUAGCGGUGAAAUGCUUAGAUAUGACAUAGAACACCAAUUGCGUAGGCAGCUCACUACGGAAAUAUUGACGCUGAGGCACGAAAGCGUGAGGAUCAAACAGGAUUAGAUACCCUGGUAGUUCACGCCCUAAACGAUGGAUACUCGACAUACGCGAUACACAGUGUGUGUCUGAGCGAAAGCAUUAAGUAUCCCACCUGGGAAGUACGACCGCAAGGUUG
Molecule: ribosomal RNA, 368 nt
Filed under: uncultured organism
Description: bacterial SSU rRNA
Rfam family: Bacterial small subunit ribosomal RNA
Source: RNAcentral